AAUUUCAUACCUGGAACGGGUGCCCGAGGCCAUUGUUCGGAAAGAGCGCUGGCUCGGGAAAACGGGAAGUCGGGUGCAAGUCCCGCGCGGUCCCGCCACUGUAACGAGGAACUGCCUUACAUGGCGCCACUGGGAAACUGGGAAGGCGUAGGGCGGUGAUGAAUCGAAGCCAGGAUACCGGCCCGUUUCCAAAAGAACUCU
RNAcentral lists this non-coding RNA (201 nucleotides) under Kyrpidia spormannii. Lineage: Bacteria; Bacillati; Bacillota; Bacilli; Caryophanales; Alicyclobacillaceae. The record is from RNAcentral.